GCCAGCCAUGGUGAUGCACGUUUAUAAUUCCAACUGUCAAGGAAGCUGAAGCUGGUGAUUGAGCUCAGGACUCUGAGGUUCAGUCCACAAAACCAACUAGGUGUCUGUACUAAAUCCAGAGUCAAUAUGGUUAGCUUCCAUGAGUGGAGGAAAGAGGUUACCUAUGGAGGAGUGAACUGGCCCAUGUUGGAAACAGUAGGCCAAAGCUCCUGUGCCAAUCAGUGGUGGGACUGAGCCCAUGAGAUGGGCAUUCAUAGCCCUGGACUUUCAGCCUGGACUAGAUAGGGAAAAUACAGAU
RNAcentral lists this non-coding RNA (298 nucleotides) under Phascolarctos cinereus (koala). Lineage: Eukaryota; Metazoa; Chordata; Mammalia; Diprotodontia; Phascolarctidae. The record is from RNAcentral.